Gossypium arboreum is the source of this 145-nucleotide non-coding RNA. Lineage: Eukaryota; Viridiplantae; Streptophyta; Magnoliopsida; Malvales; Malvaceae. The record is from Rfam.
UGUUAAAAAUUUUAUCCAUUUUUAUUGAUAAAAAUUGAUAUGACUAAUAGAAUAAUCAAACAGUCACACAUAGCGUGUCAUGUGUAUCUCAUUCUAACGUAUAAGGAUUAGUUUUUAACAAUAGAAAUAGGUGAAUUUUUUAAUA